GAUGAACGCUAGCGGCAGGCUUAAUACAUGCAAGUCGAACGGCAGCACGGGUAGCAAUAUCUGGUGGCGAGUGGCGCACGGGUGCGUAACGCGUAUGCAAUCUACCUUCAACUGGUGAAUAGCCCGAAGAAAUUCGGAUUAACACACCAUAGUAUAUUAGAGUGGCAUCACUUUAAUAUUAAAACUCCGGUGGUUGAAGAUGAGCAUGCGUGACAUAGCUAGUUGGUGAGGUAAUGGCUCACCAAGGCUACGAUGUCUAGGGGAUCUGAGAGGAUUAA
This 278-nucleotide ribosomal RNA is filed under the name uncultured bacterium. Its description in RNAcentral is "partial 16S ribosomal RNA". It matches the Rfam family "Bacterial small subunit ribosomal RNA", at positions 28 to 304 of the family's 1533-position model. The record is from RNAcentral.